Molecule: long non-coding RNA, 886 nt
Organism: Mytilus trossulus (common blue mussel)
Lineage: Eukaryota; Metazoa; Mollusca; Bivalvia; Mytilida; Mytilidae
Exons: 2
Source: RefSeq, a predicted model, not a curated record
CGAAACAAAGUGAAUGAAGUGACACAGUUUAUCAUAGGAGCAAGACGUUAUUUCAUUACUGGCGUUCUACAUAGUAAAAAUAAGUCCAUCAGUGAUGGAAGAGUCAAUAUACCUAGUCACUACUGGACAGCUGUAUGCUGCGAUUCCUCAGGUGCGAAGGGCGACCUCCGUAAAGAAGGAUGGUCCGCGGGAUUUAUAGGUGAAAACAAAGCCGAUUCCUCAGUUUUUAUUUACACAAUACAGAAUUUUUUACAAACCACCUCAUCUACACUUUUUGCAGAUUUUACAGAUCAAAAUGGAAACACAGUGAAAAACUGCCUGUUCAACCCGACCAAAGCGGACAACAUUAUUAACGAGAUUGCUAAUACCGACAAUCGCUUUAUCAAAGGGAAAACCUCAAUGUUUAGGCGUGUGUGUAAACUUAUUUACGAUGGAGUUUGUUACAUUCUAGGUUUGUUCGGAUAAAUCUGUCCAAUUAUGGAUGUUCGCUGCUCUGUUUCAAAAUAACAAGCUUUUUAAAAGACUGUUAUAAAUUGAUAGUAUAUAAAUAAAGUAAAGAUCUAAAAAAUAACAGAAAAAAAUGAAGGGUCCAUGUGCUUGUUUUCGAGAUAUUAGCCAUAUUAAACUAUAUGUACUAGUAAUAAAAUUAUAAAAAGAAAAGUAGGGAUUGCGUGGGAAAUUUGUUAAUGGCACUACAUGAAUAAGACCAGAGGAUUCAAAGUAUCUGGCAAAAAUUCAGGAAUAAAAGAACCGAACAACCUUAUAUCAAUAUAUUACCAUGUACUUUUAGAUAUAGUUAUGUACUUUUGUUGUAUACUUAAUAAUAUUCAAGAUACACGUUUUAUAUAUUCCUUGUAGUUGCAUUAUUAAAUAAGCUAUUGUUUUG